UUGCUCAUUUCGGCAGCACAUAUACUAAAAUUGGAAGAUCAGUAUGCUCUCUGCACAAUGAUGACAUGCAGAUUUGUGAAGUGUUCCAUAUUUUC
Molecule: small nuclear RNA, 95 nt
Organism: Microcebus murinus (gray mouse lemur)
Lineage: Eukaryota; Metazoa; Chordata; Mammalia; Primates; Cheirogaleidae
Source: Ensembl